This is a long non-coding RNA of Triticum dicoccoides, 428 nucleotides long. RefSeq lists it as uncharacterized. Lineage: Eukaryota; Viridiplantae; Streptophyta; Magnoliopsida; Poales; Poaceae. The transcript is spliced from 2 exons. The record is from RefSeq and is a predicted model, not a curated record.
CAAGCAGACACUUUUCUAUCGACGCUGCAUACAAGUUAGGAUGAGGAUUGCAACUUUGAUGCUACUGCUAACACUCGCCGUUCUCGUGCUAGCAUCAAAUGCUGAUGCAAAACCACAAUGUUCGGUCAAAUUCCUGCAGAAGUUUGGUGGGUAUUUGUUUGGUCUUUGUCAGCAAGAUUGCCACCGAAUCUUUCCGUGCCCUGAGGACAAGCAAUGCAAUUUGGAGCCUAAAAUUGUUGGCAUGAAGUGCAGGUGCACGAGGUGCUUAUACUCCUCCAAGGCUCCAAUAAAGAAAACUGUGAUGUUAACUAGCUAAGAAAAUAUCAGUGCAGGUUCGCAAAAAUAAUAACAAUUAAUUGCCAUAUCAUGUGGUCUAGCUAUCAGCAUGACUAUUCGCUAUAAAUCUUCAUCAUAGAACAUAAAUUCAA